GAUGAACGCUGGCGGCGUGCCUAAUACAUGCAAGUCGAGCGAACAGACGAGGAGCUUGCUCCUCUGACGUUAGCGGCGGACGGGUGAGUAACACGUGGAUAACCUACCUAUAAGACUGGGAUAACUUCGGGAAACCGGAGCUAAUACCGGAUAAUAUAUUGAACCGCAUGGUUCAAUAGUGAAAGACGGUUUUGCUGUCACUUAUAGAUGGAUCCGCGCCGCAUUAGCUAGUUGGUAAGGUAACGGCUUACCAAGGCGACGAUACGUAGCCGACCUGAGAGGGUGAUCGGCCACACUGGAACUGAGACACGGUCCAGACUCCUACGGGAGGCAGCAGUAGGGAAUCUUCCGCAGUGGGCGAAAGCCUGACGGAGCAACGCCGCGUGAGUGAUGAAGGUCUUCGGAUCGUAAAACUCUGUUAUUAGGGAAGAACAAAUGUGUAAGUAACUAUGCACGUCUUGACGGUACCUAAUCAGAAAGCCACGGCUAACUACGUG
Molecule: ribosomal RNA, 497 nt
Filed under: uncultured bacterium
Lineage: Bacteria
Description: partial 16S ribosomal RNA
Rfam family: Bacterial small subunit ribosomal RNA
Source: RNAcentral